RNAcentral lists this ribosomal RNA (265 nucleotides) under uncultured Staphylococcus sp. RNAcentral describes it as "partial 16S ribosomal RNA". It matches the Rfam family "Bacterial small subunit ribosomal RNA", at positions 96 to 354 of the family's 1533-position model. The record is from RNAcentral. Lineage: Bacteria; Bacillati; Bacillota; Bacilli; Caryophanales; Staphylococcaceae.
CGGCGGACGGGUGAGUAACACGUGGAUAACCUACCUAUAAGACUGGGAUAACUUCGGGAAACCGGAGCUAAUACCGGAUAAUAUAUUGAACCGCAUGGUUCAAUAGUGAAAGACGGUUUUGCUGUCACUUAUAGAUGGAUCCGCGCCGCAUUAGCUAGUUGGUAAGGUAACGGCUUACCAAGGCAACGAUGCGUGCCGACCUGAGAGGGUGAUCGGCCACACUGGAACUGAGACACGGUCCAGACUCCUACGGGAGGCAGCAGGC